UCUGAAUCUGCGAACGGCUCCGCAAACCAGUUGUAAGCAAUAGCAAGGAUGCUCGUCGAACCCGGGGCUCGCGCCCCGGCAAGUAGGCGGGCGACAAGGAUACCCCUGGUAAUCCUGAGGCUAAUACUUGAGCGUACGACCUUGGCAGCCCUCGCGGCAGCCGGGGACCGUGCGAUCAUUCAAAGCGGUGGGAAACCAUCCGGGAAAGGACGCACAGUCAAACCGCGGCAAAAAAUGGUUCGGCGGAAUCCCUCGGCCUUCGCGGUCGGGGGAGAAGCCGUUUCUCGCGGGUCUUGCACUGCGCUUCUGACCUAUCAACUGUAUAGCAGUGUAAGGGACAUGCUAUGGU
RNAcentral lists this ribosomal RNA (349 nucleotides) under Physarum vernum. Its description in RNAcentral is "bacterial SSU rRNA". It matches the Rfam family "Eukaryotic small subunit ribosomal RNA", at positions 80 to 350 of the family's 1831-position model. The record is from RNAcentral. Lineage: Eukaryota; Evosea; Eumycetozoa; Physariida; Physaraceae.